RNAcentral lists this small RNA (31 nucleotides) under Bombyx mori (domestic silkworm). Its description in RNAcentral is "ovarian small RNA-29639". Lineage: Eukaryota; Metazoa; Arthropoda; Insecta; Lepidoptera; Bombycidae. The record is from RNAcentral.
UCUCCGAAAGACGAGUCCCCUGAGUGGGAAA